Molecule: ribosomal RNA, 251 nt
Filed under: uncultured bacterium
Lineage: Bacteria
Description: partial 16S ribosomal RNA
Rfam family: Bacterial small subunit ribosomal RNA
Source: RNAcentral
GACGUAGGGGGCAAGCGUUGUCCGGAAUCAUUGGGCGUAAAGCGCUCGUAGGUGGAUCGGUAAGUCUGCAAAGAAAGACCCGGGCUCAACUCGGGGAACGGUGUGGAUACUACCGAUCUUGAGGCAAUCAGAGGAUGAUGGAAUUUCCGGUGUAGCGGUGAAAUGCGUAGAGAUCGGAAGGAACACCAGUGGCGAAGGCGGCUACCUGGACAAAUACUGACGCUGAGGCGGCGAGAGCGUGGGGAGCAAAC